RNAcentral lists this small nuclear RNA (106 nucleotides) under Prolemur simus (greater bamboo lemur). Lineage: Eukaryota; Metazoa; Chordata; Mammalia; Primates; Lemuridae. The record is from RNAcentral.
GUGCUCGCUUCAGCAGCACAUAUACUAAAAAAUUGAAACGAUACAGAGAUUAGUAUGGCCCCUGCACAAGGAUGACACGCAAAUUCGUGAAGCGUUCCAUAAAAAA